Long non-coding RNA from Rhinolophus ferrumequinum (greater horseshoe bat), 5430 nucleotides. RefSeq lists it as uncharacterized. The record is from RefSeq and is a predicted model, not a curated record. Lineage: Eukaryota; Metazoa; Chordata; Mammalia; Chiroptera; Rhinolophidae. The transcript is spliced from 2 exons.
CCUUGUGAAACAGGAGGAGGUGGGAGAAGGGGUGAAGUUUGACUCAGGUCCAGAGAUAAAGACUGACACACACAAAUGGACCAUAAUAGGGAGCAAAGUGAGUUAAGCUGAAGUAAAUGUUUUAAAAUCCUCAGCUAGAUAGACUAAACAGCAUUGGCCUAGGAGCCAGGAGACCCAGCUGUCUGUCCAGGCAUUCUCACUUAGGAAAUGCAACUCUAGCUAGCCUGCGAAGCCUCCCUUGUGUCCCUGUUUUGUCAUCUGUAAAAUGGAGGCCAGCCUCCAUGACAGGAGGAGCAGUGAGGAGGGAAAAGUAAUGUCUCUGCAAGUGCUUUGUGAAUUUUAACCUGCAAGUCGAAUGGGGGCAUUAUUUUGUGUUGAUUGUGUUUCUAUUUUGGAAAACUAUGUUCAGAAAAUGGAAAUAUUUUCAAUUGAGGGAAAAAUCCAUCAGGAUAAGGGGGAAAAGAACCCUUCUACCGUGUUUGUAAUGGCUUUUCGAACUGAGUUGCAGGGGCGCUUACUGCUGACAACUUUGCUUUGUGUUAAGUCUAAUCGUCUACUAAAAAGGCCAUUUGGGUUACACCCCAAUUACCAUCACAUAUGUCUAAACUUCACCAGCUCACAAGGGACCACUAAGUUACAUAUCUUCAUGAACAGAAAGUAUGUCGGAUGAUUAUUUUUUUCCUCCCAGGUUUCUUAGCCUGUUGGCAGCAUUUUCCCAGAGUGUUUUCGAAAGCUUUCACAAGAUAUCCUCAUAACGCUGGCAAAAAAUACGAAGCAUACUUUAAGACUAAUGCUUAACUUCUGCAGGACCCUGAUUGUUUUUCAGGUUGAAAACGAAGACAGCGAGUUUCUGGAUGUACCUGUCAAGACUAAAUGAUUGUUCAUUUCCUGUGAAUUGGAAAUAACGUAAUAACAUGCAGCUGGGGAGCUAGGCUGUGUUUCUUGCUUUAGCCUCUUCCAGAAGCUGGGUCCCUUACCAGCUGGGAAAUAUUACUGUAUGAACGUGCUGAAAAACUUAGGGGAAAUGAAAAGAACAACCACAUUCUAGAUGUCAGCAAUCAGUUUGAUGGUCUUACCUGUACCAACCUGAGAAGAUUUUAAUAGCAAAGGUAUACAAAGAUUAAUUUAAUUUAAAAUGAGCUCUUAGGGGAAAAAAGGAAGGAUUUACAAGGCCACAAAAAUCUUUGUCUAGAAUUGAGCUGAUUAGAAUUAACCCUGUUAAAAUUAUGCAUGCCAAUGAAUGGGUGAGUUUGAAACAAUUAAAAAUAAUAAAGUAUUUUCACCCAAGGGAAAUGGAUUAGUAUGAAUCAAAGUAUCCAUGUUUUGCUAAUGCAGUCAUUACCUGGAACAAAAAAAAAACAAAAAAAAAUACAAAACAUAAAUUCAAUGCUGAGUUUAAAAUGGUAAUUCAGCAAAAUGUAAUCACAGGCACUUAUUUUAAAUGCAUGCUUAUAACAUUUAGUAUAAUAAAUUACAUUUAGUUGUUUCAUUAGCCGUCACACUAUACGUUGUGAUAAUCAGAUAUUACAUAGAUGCUGAGAGAUGGAGCCAAUGUUUCACUUCAGGUGGCUCCCAGUCCAGCUCAUCUUCAUAAUUAAUUAGAGAAAGAGGAGGUGGGGUAGGAGCAGAAGAGAUGCUUAGAUUAUUCAGGUCCCCAGCUUCUCCUGGGAAGGGAAGGAGAGGAAGGAGAGACUGAGGCAGAAGGAAAGUCUCUGCCAGUGGAAUCUUAGAGCGUCAUUGCCCAUUGUACCCAGACCUACGUAUGGAAGCAAAGAAAUCUGGGGUCUGAGAGAGUGUAAGGGUGAGAUAGCUGCCCAGGAUCACCUUGUAUGUGUGGUUCUCAGCCUUGACUAGGCAUCAGAAUUACUUAUAGAACUUUUAAAAAUAAAAACAACUGGGUCCUGUCCAGUCCUGGGCUAAAGCUUGGGAAUGACAUCUUCAUGAUUUAAAAAAAAAAACAAAAAACAACAACAAAACCCUACAAUUGAUUUUGAAUGCUGAGCUAGGUUGAAAACCAUGGGUAGGUGGUAGUUGGAAAUAAACUGAAAGGUGAGUUUGACAAUAUUGCAAUAUUGCACUUUAUCUAAAUCUCUCUUCAUCUUGUUUGAGUCUAAAGAAGGAGCUACAUGUCUUGAAGUGUAUCAGAUAGACAGAGUACGAUGAAGAUGCCGUAAUAAAAUCAUACCUGACACUGCUGUAGCUCUUUGAGACUCGUUGCCUAAUGGACAGAACAAGUACACAUCCAUUACAUCAUUUCUUUCCCCUCCCUUCUUCUCUUAGCGCAAGAAUCAUCACCCCGUCUUACAGAUAAGAAAACAUGCCACAUCCUGCCAAAUCCCCCAACAGUGUGAACAGGUGGGUUGACCCCCAUUUUGUGUUCCUGUCCCAGAUGCAAUUUUUUAGGCCUGACAGCUGUUUGUGCAGGAUGCCUGGGGAUGGAGACAGGGUGCUCUGCUCUUAGAUGGUUUUAUGCUCAUGUAACAGAGAAAAGAGAAUUCAGCAAUCAAACACCUAGCUCCCAAGUUGACUACAAAUGGAGAGAAGGUUUGUGUUUUACUUUCACCUUAAAGAGUUGGCUUACAUCCAGCAUGUAUAAUAGUUUUUGGCUUUCUAUUUUACACAAGUCCUCUUCUUAAGUUAACAUGUCAUAUAUCCCAUGUCUAUUUCAUUGCUUCCUGGGAUUCAAUAGAGAAUAGAUGGUAAGGAGAAAAUGGUGCAGUAGAGACAAUAAGCAGCAAGUCCCCCGGCAGGCAUCCUGGGGCAAGCAGCCAUGGUGGACUCCUUGUGUGCUUACUUCUUUCACAUCAAGAGAAGCAAAUGGUCCCCAGGUCAAGGAUGGAAGAAGAGGUUAAAAAAUCUUCCAGUUAUGUUUGGGUUUAUUUCCCUGCCUCCCGAGUAAGCUUUCAGUUACUUUGUUCUUAUGAUUCAACUAAUCUAAUGGAAAGAAAUCAUGAUCACAGCAUUUGAGGCAGAUGGAUGGCUUAGGGCUGUAAGUUAUCUGGGGAAGACUGUUGGGAAUGGACUUGAGGAUAAAGCUAUUACGAAGCACAGCAGUAGAAGCUAUGCUUUUGCUGAUACAAUUUACCUUUUUAAUGAAGUUACUUCACAUUUUAUGUUAACAUAGACAAAAUGCUUCCAAGGUAAGAUUGUUUUUGAAGGUCUGUGAUGCAGUGAUAGCUACCACUGUAGCAAAUGUGCAGUGUUAAAUGUGAUGAAUCAAUGUCCUCUCAGAUACCAGUAUUUCACAGAUCAGUAUAACUCAUUGUACUUAAUGGUUUAUCCUAUCAUACAAAAAUAUAUCUACAGAAGGUAUCCCUCAAGUUUUUAUAAAUUACUAGGCUGACCAUUUUAUCAUAUUUUAUCUUCUUCACAUGUGAGUUUAAAAGAUUGAUGGUGUUAUAAUUAUGUUUAAAUCACAUCUGGUUUUACAAUAGCCUAUGGAGAAACAUUUCUGACAGUAACAGAAAGGAACUGUAUGGAAAGUUGAAUAUAUGGAACAUAGCUAACCUUUUAAAUCAAACAUGUAGAGCUAUUUUGGGGAACAGGAAUGGCAAAUAGGUUUCACCUGAGCACUGACCAACUGGCAGCUCACUGAAGUGAUAUUUUGUGAAAGCUGAUCUGGGCUCAGCGAGAAAGUGUGCCAAGAUUGACUAGUGAUGCCUGUCAUGGAGGAAGGACCGGACCUGGCAUCAUGUGUUUGCCAUCUCCACUGUGGGAAGAAAAGGAAAAAACUGAACUGUAUAGUGAAUGCAUAUUUCACUACGAACAAAGACUGUUGAGAUAUGUGAAGAAUUCCUCUGAUGGCAUAGCUUUUGCCAGAGCGAAGACUCCAUUGAUCAUUUUGGAUAGUUUUAGAUUUAAGAGCCUUAUUAAAGGUGUUUAAUGCAUAUCUGGGUGUCUAGAAGAGUAAGGAUUAUUCAUUUUUCUCAACAUGCUACACUGUUACGUGAAAUUCUGGAAUUAAGUUUGUCAUUGUUAUGGUAGAGAGUGUCAGUCCGAAUCUUCCAGUUACACAAGCCGCACGCAAAUGAGGCUUUUCCCUUGGAUUCCAUCAUCCUCAGGUACACUUCAGCCGAGUUAUUUUCACAAAUGUAGUUUUCGUUGCAGUCAAAGCAAAUGCUAUCAUUUACACUAGUGAUUAUGAAGCCCACGGCGAAGUCAUUAAACCCAUCAUAUUUCUAAGUUUCAUUUUACAAUAUUAGUGAGGAUACAACGCUAGCAAACUCAUUUGUUUCCUGUUAAAGAUAAUAUAAAUGGAAAGCAAAGUAGGGGUUAUCCCUCUGGAGAAACCAUGAGUUUAAUAUGAUUAAUGUUGCAAAGAAAUAACUUUCUUAUUGAAUCAAUGACCUUUUCAUCACAGUGAGUUGUAUUAAAUUGCAAAAUUUAAUUUCAGAUAGAAGAAAACAUUCCUCAAUUCUAUUGUAAAUAAUGACAUAUUUAUUCACAUAUCUUCAGCAUGUUUUCUACCAAAGAUUCAUCAUUUCAGUUGAUUUUUAUUAUGUUUCUUAGUUGCAGAUUAUUCCUCAUAGUUUUCUAAUAGAUUGACACUUUUUAUUAUUUAUUGAUUGGGUCUUUGAAGACAUGGGUUGACUAGGAUGGGUUUUGGUUCUGGUUAGUUUAUGUAGCCAGAUAAUUGAUGAGUCAUGAACAAGAACCUCCGAGAAUUUGUUAUUUAUUUCUGUACUAUUCCCCCUACUCUCCCUUACCUAACAAAUCCAUUUUCUGGGACUCUCAGUCAGCAAAUCAUACUCCCAUAUAUCCAACGGUCAUCUAACUGUGACCAUGGACCAUCUUUCCACUUCCUUCCAACCAAUGUAAGUUCAACCUGAAGUCUGUUUUAACUCAUGCUGUUCUCAAUUUCUCCACAGGCAUUUCACAUGUAAGGUUUUGUUUUAAAUUAUGAAAGUAGCUUGUUUGAGUUGUAGGAAGAAGCAAAAUAUGAUUUUUUCUGAAUUCUUACAGAAUGUCUUCAAAGUGCACGUUAUCUUGUCUGUUUCCAUAUCUCAUUAAUCUUUGGGGAUCCUGAGACUGUAUGCUAAGGCUGGCACUGAGUCCUGCCUGGAGCCCUGUAGGAGUGUUUGGAUGCUGAAUUUCUUAAGAAUACGUAAAAGAGAUAAAGGCAUCGGGUUCCUAAGCCGUCUUCGCUGUUAUGUAGAAUUGGCCAAUCUGGACUUCAGGAAAAUUGAUAAAGCACUUCAGAUUCACUUCCAACAAACGGCAUUCCAUAAUGCUCCUUCAAAAAUUGUGUUCCUAGGAGUUGAAAGAGAAUUCACCUCUCGCACAUGAAUUUUCUCCUAAGCCCUUAAUACCCGUUCUGCGCGUUUUGAUGAUUUUUGUGAAUGUGUCUGCAAUGGCCACUGCCUGGCCAGACACCAGCAAUUGUUAGAAGCAGCCCAAUUCCGGGGGUAAAAAAAAAAUGUAAAAAAAAAA